RNAcentral lists this non-coding RNA (300 nucleotides) under Clostridium taeniosporum. RNAcentral describes it as "T-box sequence". It matches the Rfam family "T-box leader". From Rfam's summary of the family: Uncharged tRNA acts as the effector for transcription antitermination of genes in the T-box leader family. T-boxes are found upstream of many aminoacyl-tRNA synthetase genes and some amino acid biosynthetic genes usually in Gram-positive bacteria. The anticodon of a specific tRNA base pairs to a specifier sequence within the T-box motif, and the NCCA acceptor tail of the tRNA base pairs to a conserved bulge in the T-box antiterminator hairpin. Lineage: Bacteria; Bacillati; Bacillota; Clostridia; Eubacteriales; Clostridiaceae. The record is from RNAcentral.
AUAAAAGCAAUGAAAAAGAGGAGUAGAAACUGAAAAUAUUAAAGGAAACUAGCUUACAUAAGCAUAGGAGUAUGGUUCUUUUUUAUUAGUAAUAUACGAUAAAAAAGAACAAGUAAGAGAGAGGGAAUAGGUGAAAGCCCUUAUAUGGAAAGUUUUGAAGGUAGCUUUUGAGCUUCUUUAGUGAAAUAAGAGUAGCUAAGGACGGUUUGUCUAAAUCGUUAAUUAAUUAAGAGUCCAUUAAAAACAUUAAAUUAUGUUUGCGUGGAAAUAAAGGUGGUACCGCGAGUCUUCGUCCUUUUU